GUGGACUUUUAUCUGGAUUCUAUCAGUUCACUAUGUCACUUCAGCUGAUGUUAUCUUUCAGAUCUUUCACUUUGUAUAAAAUCUUUUCUGUGAUAAUCUAAACUACAUAGUAAUUUUACCAUGAGAACCUGGAGGCCACAUUCUCCUCUUAAUAAUAUGCUUGAUGCAGAAAUAUGUUUUUCUAUGAAGAUUGAAGCUGUGGUUUAGGGGAUUGGAACCUGCCUGGUGUUCAGCCUAAGAGAAAAAGCUUCAGCCUAAGAAAAAACUGCUCCAGUAUGAUUUUCACUGUUAGCACUGUUUACAAAAUAUUCAAAGGUUAUGCACUCCUUUAAGGGCAUAGCUUUAGAGACCGUAUUAUAAACUCAUGUUUGUAAUUUAAGCUGAAGUCUUUGCUGAAAACUCAAGGGCUUCUUUUAUUAGCUGUCUGAAGUUCUGUCAGUUUGGCACAUGUAUUGUUCCUUUUAGAAAAGGAAUAGGGUGAUAGCAAGUUGUCAGUGGGUAAUUUUCUAAUUAUGUGGCAUGCUUCCCAUUUCACAGGCUCACUUGCAGUUUCAGAGAACCAAGAUGAUAAACAUAAAACUGAUAUCCAAGAGGAUAAACAUAAAACUGAUCUUCUGUCCAUAUAGUGACACCUUAGAGACGCCAAGAAAGAGCCAGUCAAAUUCACAUACAUUCAGAGCUUGCUGGGGGAAAGAAGGAGGACCGAGAAGGAGAGAAAGGAAAAAAGUUCAGAAUGAGAACUAUGCACAUAACAUGUAUAAAGGUACUUAUGUAUUUUCUGAACUACACAUCAUGGUACUCGUUCACCCCCUUGUCAGCUUUGUCUGCAGCUCUCUCUGUGUAGACCAGCAGUGA
RNAcentral lists this long non-coding RNA (855 nucleotides) under Anas platyrhynchos platyrhynchos (common mallard). RNAcentral's name for it is "lncRNA (ENSAPLG00000028728.1)". Lineage: Eukaryota; Metazoa; Chordata; Aves; Anseriformes; Anatidae. The record is from RNAcentral.